GUUGCUGUAGUUUAAUGGACAGAACGGUUUCCUCCUAAGAAAUCGGCGAAGGUUCGAUUCCUUCCAGCAACUCCA
Molecule: transfer RNA, 75 nt
Filed under: Saprospiraceae bacterium
Lineage: Bacteria; Pseudomonadati; Bacteroidota; Saprospiria; Saprospirales; Saprospiraceae
Description: tRNA-Arg
Rfam family: tRNA
About the family: Transfer RNA (tRNA) molecules are approximately 80 nucleotides in length. Their secondary structure includes four short double-helical elements and three loops (D, anti-codon, and T loops).
Source: RNAcentral